Molecule: long non-coding RNA, 537 nt
Organism: Portunus trituberculatus (swimming crab)
Lineage: Eukaryota; Metazoa; Arthropoda; Malacostraca; Decapoda; Portunidae
Exons: 4
Source: RefSeq, a predicted model, not a curated record
CUACUACUACUACUACUACUACUACUACUACUACUACUACUACUGCGAAACAUAGAAGCAUAAAAUCCAAAAUACCAGUGAAGAUACACGACAUUAAGGAAACUGAAGGGAGCGGCGCCCCCCCUGAAACCUCGGGGGGCGCAGGGGGGGGCGUGGAUGACGUCUGCCUGGAGGAGUGCGUGAAGGAGGCAGUGGUAGGACUCCUCAAGGACCUGCCAGAGUCCUUUUUGCAGACACGGGACCACAAGAGAGAAAUAUUAAGCUCUAUUUCCUCCCUUGCCGAGUCCCUGCCACGCCCUGCCGCCACCCACGCCUCUGCUCUCGAAGCCAUCCACGCCGCCCACGCCGCCCACGCCCAGAAUGCUUGCAACCACAACACCACCACACACCUCUGCCUCUACCUCGGUCUCAAGUCUGCCCUUCUCUACCACCACCACAACCAACAACAACAACAACAACAACAACAACAACAACAACAACAACAACAACAACAACAACAACAACAACAACAACAACAACAACAACAACAACAACAAC